Phasianus colchicus (ring-necked pheasant) is the source of this 1448-nucleotide non-coding RNA. NCBI's taxonomy places the organism in Eukaryota, Metazoa, Chordata, Aves, Galliformes, Phasianidae. The record is from RefSeq and is a predicted model, not a curated record.
GCCUCACUCAUAGCUCUUUUAUCACUUAAAGCCUUUUUUUUUCUUUUUUCUUCUUCUUUUUUUUUUUUUUUUCCAAUUGCCUACAAGAGGUGGGACACUUCAGGUGGUUUUUUUCUCCUCCCACUUGUCUCUCGGAGGGCCACGGGCACCUCAAACAUCCUGCGAGGUUGUCAUCCCAGAGCCGCCUGCCUGUCGGGGCCGGGAGCUCAGCCCAGCUUGAGGUCCUGCUGCGGGCUGCCCGCUGCCGCCCGGCUAUGGCUCCUCUGCCCCACUGGUGUCUUGCUGCAGGUCUUGCUGUAGCCUUCUGCUGUUGUGUCCCUGUUUUCCAAUGUGAACCUGAACCACGAGGCACCUCGGUGGCCUCACCUCACCUCAGGGCUGAAGAGAGGUGCAGCUCUAGCAAACAGAUUUGUAUCGUCCCCACUUUUGCAGAUGGGGAGGACGUAUGGAAAUUAAACUAAAAGGAUCUGCUGCUUUAAGGAUGCCAAGCACAGGCAGGAUGCCAGGUGCUGAUUUUUCAGAGCCCUUAGCACCAGCUGGCUCCUUAUUAGGGCUGCAUUCAGUGCCAGCUACAAAGGUGAGUGCUCAGCAUGCUGGCAAGUUGUUCCCCUUAAUUUCACACAUGCACAUGGUUGGAGAUAAUCUGGCAAGAAAGAAUUUCUCUGUUCCUUGACCAGCAGCGCAUAGAAGUGCUGUAGAGGCUGCAACCGCACCAUGGUUGAUGGCAGCAUGAGAGCAAAAAUGUGCUGGUGUGCGGGGGCACUGCAGUUCAAAUACAAUGAAGAGGGAAAGGACUACUGGCAGAGAAUCACAGUCAGGAAAAAAGGCAGCAGGUCUACUCUCCUUGCCCUUAGGACAGGACAAAACUCAUUGGGAGCGUACAGCUCACCUCCUCACUGGGAAACCCAUACUUGCUUCCUUUCUUGAUGCAGAGAUUUAAAAAAAAAAAAAAGCUGGCACGGAAGCAGAGCCAAGCAAGGGCUUGGCGUAGAAAGUGGCCUCAUACCACUGCCAGAAGGAGGGAAUGCUGGAAAGAAGAUCCCUGGCAAGGGUCUGCCUUCGCUUUGUGCCAUGUAAGCAGCCCAACGUGAGACUGAAGAUGAACAGACCUUGUCUCAUACUGUUUGGACAUCUCGGUAAUGUAGAAAGCCUCUGCUUGAAUUUUGUCUAUGCCGAUAAAUAUAUAAUAAAAUAUGCUAACUGGAUUUGCAAGUAUCAAGCCAUUUUGCAGAACUCAAAAAUAAACUUAAGUAUUAUUUAUACCCACUGUAUCUGCGCAAACAAAAUUCAAAUAUAUGUUCUCUUCUUCAGAGAUAUGGACAAAAAAUUUACUGCUUUUUGAUGACGAAUAAAGGUUAUUUGCCUCUGCAACUAUAAACUUUAAAGGAACGCAGUUUUUUCAGUAUGAUAUCACCUCAUUCUCAUCAUGCUGCUGCAGCAUAGAAAUU